AUUUUACUUUUUAUUUUAUUUAUGUGACUUUGACCUCUCUUCCUAGUUUGGGAUGAUUGCAAUUUCGUAUUCAAUACACACAGAGCCCUGUCUGAAUGGAAGUUUGGAACCACGUUCAAUUAUCUUUACAAGUGUCCUGUCAAUAAUAAAGAUAAGGACAUUAGUAACAUACGUAAUGUGAUACAGAAGGAAUUUUUGUCCCUUGUGGAUGCUGGUUUGGCUAUAAACUGCGCCUACCCUCUGAUGUUACAAGAAAAACGGAAAGUGGAUGUGAUCAUUUCAUUGGACUACAGUGAUGGGGAUAUUUUUAUGACAUUGAAUCAGGCUAAGGCUUAUGCUGAUGCACACAAACUUCCUUUUCCCCAUGUGGACAAGAAAGGCCAAAAACCUCAGGACUGCAAUGUGUACAGUGAUGCCUCAGCUCCAACAGUGAUCCACAUGCCUCUGUUCAAUGACAGCAAUAAAGACGGCAAGUAGUGAUACAGGGAUUUCUAUUAUAAAUAAUAUGUACGUGUUUAAGUGUGGGGUUUGGUAGAGACAGUUUUGUCUGGCAGUGUUAUGAACUAGAGAGUUCCUAAGCACACUAGUCUCAAAAUAAUUGUCAUAAAUGCUGACUAGAGGAGGAAAACUGUCAAAAUAACAGCAGAUAGUCACAACAAGGGCAAACAUUGAAUGUUUAUAAAGAAAAG
Erpetoichthys calabaricus (reedfish) is the source of this 689-nucleotide long non-coding RNA. RefSeq lists it as uncharacterized. The record is from RefSeq and is a predicted model, not a curated record. The transcript has 3 exons. Lineage: Eukaryota; Metazoa; Chordata; Cladistia; Polypteriformes; Polypteridae.